This is an RNA transcript of Ricinus communis (castor bean), 3431 nucleotides long. It is a transcript of the gene named protein starmaker, with no coding region annotated. The transcript has 5 exons. The record is from RefSeq and is a predicted model, not a curated record. NCBI's taxonomy places the organism in Eukaryota, Viridiplantae, Streptophyta, Magnoliopsida, Malpighiales, Euphorbiaceae.
ACCCGAACUAUCAAGACGAUUCGGACCCUGCUGAACCCAGCCCUUUCUUUUCUAUUGUCGAUUUCUCUCUCUAACCAUUCAUUCCUUCACUUCAUUUUCCAAUAUCCUCGAUUCCAAAAAUAUCCGAAGCUAGUAUUUUUCUUAGAAUACUGCUGCUCGAUUCUCCGUCCUUUUUCGUAAUUCUUGUUUCUCCAAAAUCGUUUUCGUUUUGUCUGUGAAAUGUAUAACGGAAUAGGAUUACAGACCCCAAGAGGGUCAGGGACAAAUGGGUACAUACAAACAAACAAGUUUUUUGUCAAGCCAAGGACUGGUAAAGUUGCUCAUAACAUUAAAGGGUUUGAGGGUGAUCAAGGCACUGCUGGAAUCACUAGGAAACCUAAUAAGGAAAUCCUUGAGCAUGAUCGCAAGCGCCAAAUUGAACUUAAGCUUGUUGUACUUGAAGAUAAGUUAAUUGAGCAAGGUUAUACUGAUGCUGAGGUAAAAGAAAAAGUCGAUGAAGCUAGAAAAACUUUGGAAGCUGCUGCUUCUUCUGAGGAAGGUGGUGGACCUGCUGCUCUUGUGGUUACGGAGUCAAAGUUUUCCGAUACACAGUCCCAUCAAAUUGCUGCUAGGAAGGAGAGACAGAUGGAAACAUUAAGGGCUGCUCUGGGGAUAGCAAUGGCUGAACCUGGUGAGAUAACUGCUGAUGGAAAUGAUGAUGGACCAUUGAACAGUCGAAAGAGUGGUUCAAAUGAUGAUAGCAAAUGGAUCGAGAGACGCGAACAUUCCUUUCUGGAUAGAGAUUUUAGCAGGAAAAAACAUACAACUGAAGAUAUAAAGGUCGAGAAGGAUGACAAGAGAAAGAAGAAGAAAGAAAGAGAUGUAGCUGAUGACUUAAAGCACCACAAGAAGAGGGAAAGUAGGAGUAGAAGGAAUCAGGAUGAUUCUUCUGAUACUGAAACUGACUCCGAUUCUGAUUAUGGUAAGAAGAAUCAAACUUCAAAAAAUCACAAGAAAAGCAGAAGACCUGACAGUUACAGCGAUGGUUCUGCUAGUGAUGAUGAUAACAAUUUUGACAACAGGAGGAAGAAGAAGAAGAAUAGAACAGAAAAAUCCACGAAAAGCAGAAGACAUGACAGUGACAGUGAGGAUUCUGCUAGCUAUCAUGACACUGAUUCUGACAAUGGGAGGAACUCGAAGAAGAAUAGAGCAGAAAAAUCCAUGAAAAGCAGAAGACAUGGAAGUGAUAGUGAGGAUUCUGCUAGCUAUGAUGACACUGAUUCUGGCAUUGGGAGCAAGAAGAAGAACAAAACUGCUGAGAGAUCCACUAAAAUCAGAGGGCAUGCUGGUGAUAGUAAUGAUUCUGCUAGCGAUGAUGGUACUGAUUCUGAUGAUGGGAAAAGGAAGAAGAAAACAUUCACGAAAAGUAAAAGAUAUGACAGUGAUAGCAGUGAUUCUGAUGAUGGGAAGGUGAAGAAGAAGAGAUCCUUAGAGAGACCCACUAAAAGUAGAAGACAUGACAGAGAUAGCACCGACUCUGAUGAUGAGAAGGUGAAGAAGAAGAGAUCCUUGGAGAGACCUACUAAAACUAGAAGACAUGGCAGCGAUAGUGAUGAUUCUGCUAGUGAUGAUAGCACUGAUUCUGAUAAUGGGAAGAAGAAGAAGGGAACUUUAGAGAAGUAUGAUAGAAGUAGAAGACGCAGCAAUAGCACAGAUGACUCUGCAACUGAUGAUGAUGUUGAUGUUGGCAAGGUUAUCUCCAAACAGGAAGCUGAAAAACACAAGAAAACUCGUGGGAGGCAUUCUGGUGAUUCUAAGUUUGAGUUAAACUCAUCUAAGGAUAGAACCCAGGAGGUGAAGCAGCAUUUGAAAAGGCGACAUGAUUCUGGGGAUGACUCUGAUAUGGAUGGUGAGGUGGGAAGGAAUAGAAGUCCAUUUGGGAAGCAUAGAAAUCAGCAGCAGGGAAGUAGCAAGACAGCCAGAUAUGAUUACAAUUUUGAAGACCGUUGGAAGAGUGAUGAUUUACAUGUGAAAAGUAGCAGAAUCCAGAUCAGGGAUGCUGAACCACAGCAUGAAAGGAGAAGAAAUGAUCAGGAUUAUGAAGGGCAUGGUGGGGAGAGAAGGCACACUAGGGAUGAAGCAGAUCGCAAAAGAGGGAGGUACCAAAGAGACGAAGAGAAGGAUGAGUAUGGGAAGAGUGGAAAGGAUGAUGAUAAUCAAUGGCAUGGAAGUCAAAGGCGAGCAAGAGGGGAGGAAGAAGAGCGAGGAAGUCGAGGUCAGGAUGGGUGGGAUUAUGAAGAUCAUGGAAGGGAGAAGAGGCACCGUGGGGAUGAAGAGGAAUGUAAAGAGAAUAAGUAUCAGAGAGAUGAAGAGCAUGAUGACAAGUAUGGAAGGCAUAGAAAGGUUGAUGAAGACCAUAGGAAUGGCAGUCGAAGGCGUGGAAGAAGUGAGGAAGAAGAGCGUGGAAAUAAAAGUCAUGAGAGGGAUGAACAGAUGGAUUACUCCAAGAAAGCAAGACACAAUGAUUCUAGAGUAAAUGAGAGGAAAAGCUAUGCUAGUGAAAAACGUGAUGGAGAUCGGGCCAGGUUCCGAGACUAAAACUGAUGUCUUUGAGCUGCAGUAUGACUGCUGUCAGACUAAGGUUUGAGUAAGAAAAUCAUGAUGACACAUUCUCAAUUGCUUCAGGACAUAAAUCAUUUGAGUAAGAAUGAAAUGAGAAUCUGACUGGCAAGUGAUGAUAUAGGUUUCCUUUGUUUGGACUAGUAUUAGACAUUAUUGAUGUGACAUUCUUUGGCUUAGGCUUAGGACAAUGUACGGAACUGAUUGUUAUUUUUUACUACUACAAGACGCCAGUUUGAGAGGAAGGGCUAGUGUUUCUGCUUUAUGCAAAGUUUUCCGCAAUAUACAUGGUAGCUACUUUGUUAGUGUUAUUGGAUGAUUGUCUAUGGAGUUCCUUUUUGCUCGAGUGAAGCUGAAUGAAUUCUUUCAGUGUGGUGGUAGAGCUCUGCUUUACGCAAUUCUUCUUUUGCUAAUGAAAUGAAAUGAUAUCAUGGAAAGUUGGCUAAACAGUGCCAGGAUUUAUGACUCGGGAAGGUGGACUAUCUGCUGAAUUUGUUGGAAAAUUUAUUCAACAAGGAGUACUAUCAUCUUGGCUGCUGUAUAGUGCGUUCCAUCUGUGCAUGUGCAAUUUGCUACUUGUUUCAGUUGUUAUGGGGAGUGUAUCAAAGAUAUGGAGUUAGAACAAAGUAACCUUUAUCUUGAUUUACAUGUGGCUGAUAUAUAGCUCUCCUGGUAGAACAUGUGUUAUCCUGCCCACUGGGAGGAUUGCGAAUAUUGUAUUUUGCCUUUUUGUGAUACUAUGUUGUUUUAGUUCCUACUCAAUGAGAUGGCUUGUUAGUAGGGGAUGAUCUAAAGAUAAUAAUUUUAUUUUGUCCCUUCUGGUUUUAUAAGCA